AUUGAACGCUGGCGGCAGGCUUAACACAUGCAAGUCGAGCGGAGCGGCGGACGGGUGAGUAAUGCUCAGGAAUCUGCCUAUCAGUGGUGGACAACAUCUCGAAAGGGAUGCUAAUAUCGCAUACUAAUAGAUGCGCCUAAGUCGGGUUCGCUAGUUGGUGUGGUAAAGGCCUACCAAGGCGACGAUCUGUAGCGGGUCUGAGAGGAUGAUCCGCAACACUGGGACUGAGACACGGCCCAGACUUCUACGGGAGGCAGCAGUGGGGAAUAUUGGACAAUGGGGGGAACCCUGAUCCAGCCAUGCCGCGUGUGUGAAGAAGGCUUUAUGGUUGUAAAGCACUGUAAGCGAGGAGGCGUUACUCGCAGAAUAAGCACCGGCUAACUCUGUGCCAGCCGCCGCGGUAAUUC
RNAcentral lists this ribosomal RNA (407 nucleotides) under uncultured bacterium. RNAcentral's name for it is "partial 16S ribosomal RNA". It matches the Rfam family "Bacterial small subunit ribosomal RNA", at positions 30 to 526 of the family's 1533-position model. The record is from RNAcentral.